UUGUUCGUAGAAAGGAGAGAUGGCUGGCAUCUCCCCCGAUAGGGACAGGAACAGCCUUCGGACUUUACCUUUUUUU
RNAcentral lists this non-coding RNA (76 nucleotides) under Solanum tuberosum (potato). The record is from RNAcentral. Lineage: Eukaryota; Viridiplantae; Streptophyta; Magnoliopsida; Solanales; Solanaceae.